AACGGCCAUACCAUGCUGAAUAUACCGGUUCUCGUUAGAUCACCGAAGUCAAGCAUCAUUGGGCGCGGUCAGUACUUGGGUGGGUGACCACCUGGGAACACCGAGUGCCGUU
RNAcentral lists this ribosomal RNA (112 nucleotides) under Caerostris darwini. The record is from RNAcentral. Lineage: Eukaryota; Metazoa; Arthropoda; Arachnida; Araneae; Araneidae.